GUGUUGCAUGAAAGGAGAGAAGGUUAGCACUUCCUCUGACAAGGAUGCAAAAGGCCCUUCAACCUGACAACAAGCAUACUUUUGAGACACAGAGGAAUAAUUGCUUAAUUUUUUUU
This 116-nucleotide non-coding RNA is filed under the name Octodon degus (degu). Lineage: Eukaryota; Metazoa; Chordata; Mammalia; Rodentia; Octodontidae. The record is from RNAcentral.